AGUGAACGCUGGCGGCGUGCCUAAUACAUGCAAGUCGAACGGAGUGGCGCUCGGGUGAGUAAUGUAUAGCUAAUCUGCCCUACACUAGAUGACGACAGUUGUAAACGGCUGCUAAUACUCGAAAGUGCAGGAUGAGGCUAUAUUGUUUCAGCUAGUUGGUGAGGUAAUGGUUCACCAAGGCUAUGACGCAUAACUGGUCUGAGAGGAUGAUCAGUCACACUGGAACAGAGACACGGUCCAGACUCCUACGGGAGUCAGCAGUAGGGAAUAUUGCUCAAUGGGGGAAACCCUGAAGCAGCAACGCCGCGUGGAGGAUGACACUUUUCGGAGCGUAAACUCCUUUUGUUAGGGAAGCGGUACCUAACGAAUAAGCACCGGCUAACUCCGUGCCAGCAGCCGCGGUAAUUC
Molecule: ribosomal RNA, 408 nt
Filed under: uncultured bacterium
Lineage: Bacteria
Description: partial 16S ribosomal RNA
Rfam family: Bacterial small subunit ribosomal RNA
Source: RNAcentral